UGGGGAAUUUUGGACAAUGGGGGAAACCCUGAUCCAGCCAUCCCGCGUGUGCGAUGAAGGCCUUCGGGUUGUAAAGCACUUUUGGCAGGAAAGAAACGUCAUGGGUUAAUACCCCGUGAAACUGACGGUACCUGCAGAAUAAGCACCGGCUAACUACGUGCCAGCAGCCGCGGUAAUACGUAGGGUGCAAGCGUUAAUCGGAAUUACUGGGCGUAAAGCGUGCGCAGGCGGUUCGGAAAGAAAGAUGUGAAAUCCCAGAGCUCAACUUUGGAACUGCAAUUUUAAACACCCGGGUUGAGGGGGUCAGAGGGAGGUGGAAUUCCGCGUGUAGCAGUGAAAUGCGUAGAUAUGCGGAGGAACACCGAUGGCGAAGGCAGCCUCCUGGGAUAACACUGACGCUCAUGCACGAAAGCGUGGGGAGCAAACAGG
This 429-nucleotide ribosomal RNA is filed under the name Acidobacteriota bacterium. Its description in RNAcentral is "Acidobacteria bacterium partial 16S ribosomal RNA". It matches the Rfam family "Bacterial small subunit ribosomal RNA", at positions 355 to 776 of the family's 1533-position model. Lineage: Bacteria; Pseudomonadati; Acidobacteriota. The record is from RNAcentral.